CAGUAGCCGCGGGAAAACGGAGGGUGCAAGCGUUAUCCGGAUUUAUUGGGUUUAAAGGGUCCGUAGGCGGAUCUGUAAGUCAGUGGUGAAAUCUCACAGCUUAACUGUGAAACUGCCAUUGAUACUGCAGGUCUUGAGUAAAUUUGAAGUGGCUGGAAUAAGUAGUGUAGCGGUGAAAUGCAUAGAUAUUACUUAGAACACCAAUUGCGAAGGCAGGUCACUAAGAUUUAACUGACGCUGAUGGACGAAAGCGUGGGGAGCGAACAGGAUUAGAUACCCGAGUAGUCCCUGUCUCUUAUAC
Molecule: ribosomal RNA, 301 nt
Filed under: uncultured bacterium
Lineage: Bacteria
Description: partial 16S ribosomal RNA
Rfam family: Bacterial small subunit ribosomal RNA
Source: RNAcentral